Paramuricea clavata is the source of this 364-nucleotide non-coding RNA. The record is from the annotation of a GenBank genome assembly. NCBI's taxonomy places the organism in Eukaryota, Metazoa, Cnidaria, Anthozoa, Malacalcyonacea, Plexauridae.
UGUCAUAGAUUAAGGAAUGAAUAGAUGGCUCACUCCUUUGAUGUUUUUGACGCUGCCGGCGCCCACGCAUGUUCUUGCCAGAGUAAUGGCGGCCUAGCAAGUAACUGUAGUAAAAUGCAUUGUAAAAUUGACAUCGGUGCUACUAAAUUCUGUAUUUUUAUAAUUCUGAUUUAUCUUUCUAUUAAACCCGCCAAAAGCGGAAAAAUACAGGAUUUAAUAGCACGGAUGUCAAUUUUACAAUGCAUUUUACUACAGUUACUUGCUAGGCCGCCAUUACUCUGGCAAGAACAUGCGUGGGCGCCGGCAGCGUCAAAAACAUCAAAGGAGUGAGCCAUCUAUUCAUUCCUUAAUCUAUGGUAGUGUU